GACGAACGCUGGCGGCGUGCCUAAUACAUGCAAGUAGAACGCUGAAGGAGGAGCUUGCUUCUCUGGAUGAGUUGCGAACGGGUGAGUAACGCGUAGGUAACCUGCCUGGUAGCGGGGGAUAACUAUUGGAAACGAUAGCUAAUACCGCAUAAGAGUAGAUGUCGCAUGACAUUUGCUUAAAAGGUGCAAUUGCAUCACUACCAGAUGGACCUGCGUUGUAUUAGCUAGUUGGUGAGGUAACGGCUCACCAAGGCAACGAUACAUAGCCGACCUGAGAGGGUGAUCGGCCACACUGGGACUGAGACACGGCCCAGACUCCUACGGGAGGCAGCAGUAGGGAAUCUUCGGCAAUGGACGGAAGUCUGACCGAGCAACGCCGCGUGAGUGAAGAAGGUUUUCGGAUCGUAAAGCUCUGUUGUAAGAGAAGAACGAGUGUGAGAGUGGAAGGUUCACACUGUGACGGUAUCUGACCAGAAAGGGACGGCUAACUACGUG
Molecule: ribosomal RNA, 495 nt
Filed under: uncultured bacterium
Lineage: Bacteria
Description: partial 16S ribosomal RNA
Rfam family: Bacterial small subunit ribosomal RNA
Source: RNAcentral